Molecule: non-coding RNA, 138 nt
Organism: Hypomontagnella submonticulosa
Lineage: Eukaryota; Fungi; Ascomycota; Sordariomycetes; Xylariales; Hypoxylaceae
Source: the annotation of a GenBank genome assembly
GGGCUUGUGGUUUAGUGGUAUAAUACUCCCUUAGCACCUGAUGGUCUAGCAUCAUCUAUAUCAAAAGAUAGCCAUUCAGUUACUCUUAGGAUAUAACCCGCUUGGGAGUGGUCCGGGGUUCGAUUCCCCGCGAGUCCA